GCGCCUCCACAUGCACCAGUAACCCUAUACAUGUCACAGCUCCGUGUACAAUGGCAGGAUUACGGGUCAUCCGUGAAGGUGGUUCAUGUUUUUUUUUUUUGGUUUUUUUUUCAGUGGGUGUGGGUGUGCGUGUUUGCUGUUGUGACCGAGUCAAAGAAAGAAAGAAAAACGUGUGAGCACUUAAAUCAGAAUGGGCGUGUGUCUGUGUGUGCAAAGCACGCCGUCGGACUUAAAAUCGGAUGGUUGCUGGUUCAAGACUCACCACUGCCAGGUUUCUACUGUUGGGCUCCUGAGCAACUCCCUUAAGCCUCAAGUUGCACUCAGUCAAAAAUGUCUCGCUGGGGAAACCGCGACGCCUUCACCGCUGUCAUAGUCGCAAGAGAGGAGAAAGGGAGGCUCACAUCCUAUUACCGUCCACCCUUGUGAACGCGCGCGUCUUUAACGAGCGUGCCGAGGUGAACAUCCCCGCUCCUAACUCCCUCCGGCCUGACUCGUGAAUAAUGAAGCCAUGUCUACAUCAUGAGGAAUCAACCCUGGCACGGUUGUAGGCUAAUUGCUAUACAGUUGAGUGACAUUCAGAAACCUCCCUUGCGUUUCUGCACUGCCCUUAGAAGACCUGGAGUCCUUGACAGCCUAUUUCACAAGCUCCAUUUCAGAAUGCUUUCUGUAAACAAGCACACGUUACACAAGAGGAAGUUGCCAAGCUGAGACAGCAGAUGCGGUAACUAUUUGAAACUAUCGCUCAAAAUGCAGUCAGUUCUAAAGUCUUUGCUCUUUACUAGGCUAUGUACCCUGUGACUAGGCUAUGAAUCUUAUGAAUAGGCUAUGUAUACUGUGAACAGGCUACGUGGCCUGUAUCUAUGCUACAAAGCCUGUGACCAGUUAUGAAGUCUGUGUUUUGGAAUCUGUCAGCACUUUCUACACUUGAAAUCUUCAUACCUGAAUCAUUCAACAUCACAGGGAGACUUCAAACACAGUUUUGUUUUUGUUGUUCAAAGGGUCUGGUAGGGUCUGAUUCUAAUCUUGCCACAGAGCAUUAAUGUCUUGGUUUUUAAUCGACCAUGACGUCAUGCUGCAAGUCCUCAUCUCGCGCUGUAGAGAUUUCAUCUUCAUCUAAGCCUGUGAAACCGAUGCUUGGGGGACCAUCAUGUUCCUGUGUUGCGCUGUAGACAUGGUGAUUCCAGUUAUACUAAUAUGACAUAAACCCACGAGCAGGUGAUGUCUGUCCUGUCAUCUUGGUCAUGUAGAACCUUGAAAUGAAAGCAACUCCUGCGAUUUCCAUACCUCACUGAUUAAA
Long non-coding RNA from Electrophorus electricus (electric eel), 1297 nucleotides. RefSeq lists it as uncharacterized. Lineage: Eukaryota; Metazoa; Chordata; Actinopteri; Gymnotiformes; Gymnotidae. The record is from RefSeq and is a predicted model, not a curated record.